RNAcentral lists this transfer RNA (74 nucleotides) under Propionibacterium sp. Its description in RNAcentral is "tRNA-Lys". It matches the Rfam family "tRNA". Rfam says of the family: Transfer RNA (tRNA) molecules are approximately 80 nucleotides in length. Their secondary structure includes four short double-helical elements and three loops (D, anti-codon, and T loops). Further hydrogen bonds mediate the characteristic L-shaped molecular structure. tRNAs have two regions of fundamental functional importance: the anti-codon, which is responsible for specific mRNA codon recognition, and the 3' end, to which the tRNAs corresponding amino acid is attached (by aminoacyl-tRNA synthetases). tRNAs cope with the degeneracy of the genetic code in two manners: having more than one tRNA (with a specific anti-codon) for a particular amino acid; and 'wobble' base-pairing, i.e. permitting non-standard base-pairing at the 3rd anti-codon position. The record is from RNAcentral. Lineage: Bacteria; Bacillati; Actinomycetota; Actinomycetes; Propionibacteriales; Propionibacteriaceae.
GCCCCUAUAGCUCAGAUGGUUAGAGCAGCGGACUUUUAAUCCGCGGGUCGUGGGUUCGAGUCCCACUGGGGGCA